ACACCCCCGUGCUUUCCGCCGCCCGGUUGGUGGGAGUAAGUGCCGCGACGCCUCCCUAGGUGACUUGGGCUCUGUUCUUCGCUGGGCACUGCUGCCAGCCUGGGCGCGUUCAAGUUACACACCAUUCAGUUUUAUAAGUGGCUCCCAGAAGCAUCACCCCCCCUCACCCCCGUGGGAACACAGCCGUUGUGGAGGUGGAGCCAGGACUGGAACCAGGAUCAGUGGUCAGAUAGACUUGAAAAUCUGGACUUUAAAUUCUUAUGUAAGUCAGAGAGUGACUGACCAUCAUCUGUGAGACGCUGAGGACUUCUAACAUUCACUGUAAACUGAGGCCUGGAUCCAAAAAGCACAAUGAAUGCAAGUACAUGCUAUGGUAGUGUGGUGAAUUCUAGACAAGCUGGAGAAUUUUGUACAGCUCGGGGAGGAGACCCAAUUCCUGAGGUGGUCUUGGAAUCGGAACUGAUAGAACUCGGAGAAAGUGAGGAAGUGGUUGACCUCACCUCUGACUCUCUCGAACCUGCAGUGAUUGACCUAACUCACCAUGACUCUGUUGUGACUACUGAGGAAAGGAGGAGGCCAAGGAGAAACAAAAGGUCACUCCAAGGACAAACUAGCAUCUGUGUGCUGAGCGAAAAGAAGCGGGUGAUGAGAGACAGAGAUGUAUAUGCCCUGGAAAAAGAAACUUUUAGGUGCGCACUACCUGGUUAUGUCCAGUGCCGGAUUUGUAUGGACGGGUACUUUGAGAUUGAAUUGAGUAGACGGCAUAUCUAUUCUACAGCAUGUGGCCACAUCUUCUGUAGUCAGUGCCUCUGCACUUUCCUUAGAAAUACUAAAAAUUGCCCAGUUUGUUUGAAGAAAAUUGACCGCAAUCAGUACCACCGAAUUUAUAUAUAACGUGUGCUUUGUUGCUCAGGAUAGACAAACCCCCUGACUGGAUUUUUCCACGUCUUUGCACAGAAACUAUGGAGUUGUUGGUGUCCAAUGCUCUGAGCUCCGAAAGUCUGAUUUUAAACAUUGUUCUCUUGAGUGUAUGAAAACUCUUUUAUUGCUCACAAAUGACGAGACUGCUUUUUUAUUCCUUAGGCUUCACGCUGCAGGCCUGGACUUUUGUUGCUAUAGUGAAUCAGAAACUGGUGGUUGUCCUCAAAGCAAUUUUCCUUUUUUUUUUCUUCUCAUAGUAAUCAAUUUUUAACUGGUCACAUGUGGGCAUUUUGGAUCAUGUAAAUAAGAGCAACAUCCUAGAGAUGGGGAAGCAAGUAGAUGGAAGGAAGCUGGGAGACAACUCUGAAAACCAGAGCCACAAAUACAAGUUUGGACUUUUAUGAGAUAAAUAAAUAAACUUCAUUGUUUAAGCAACUAU
Molecule: long non-coding RNA, 1360 nt
Organism: Myotis davidii
Lineage: Eukaryota; Metazoa; Chordata; Mammalia; Chiroptera; Vespertilionidae
Exons: 2
Source: RefSeq, a predicted model, not a curated record